RNAcentral lists this ribosomal RNA (265 nucleotides) under uncultured bacterium. RNAcentral describes it as "partial 16S ribosomal RNA". It matches the Rfam family "Bacterial small subunit ribosomal RNA", at positions 28 to 290 of the family's 1533-position model. The record is from RNAcentral.
GACGAACGCUGGCGGCGUGCUUAACACAUGCAAGUCGAGCGGUAAGGCCCUUUCGGGGUACGACGAGCGGCGAACGGGUAGAGUAACACGUGGGUGACCUCGCCCUCAGCUCUGGGAGUAAGCCUGGGAAACCGGGGUCUAAUACCGGAUAUGACUCCAUGACGCAUGUUGUGGGGUGGAAAGCCUUGUGCGGCUGAGGAUGGGCCCGCGGCCUAUCAGCUUGUUGGUGGGGUGGAGGCCUACCAAGGCGACGACGGGUAGCCGG